UCCUCCCGUUGUUUCAUUUGUUUCCUUGAUUUGGGGACGGUAGCAGAAUGUCGGUGACAAAUAGAAAAUUCUCCAGCAAUCAUGCUUUUGCAAAAGUUGUCGGAGGCUAUUUGGUUGGACCAAAUGAAGCGAACAAGUCAGUUCCCAGUCUGCCGACUCAGGUGGUUUGAUCAAUUAAACCCAACGAAAAUCGCGCGAGCCUUUGCGUUUCGGCUAAUUUUGUUCACCGUAACCAUUGAAAGAUAGCCCGAAUUCAUCCAUGAAGGAACGUCUUCAACUUAUAACCUUUUUCUUUUUCUCUUUUUUUGUCGUUGUUAGAGAAGCUCUUCUUGUUUUCAACUCUCUGAAGCUUUUUGUAAUAAAUCCUUCACAAAUAAAUUAUAGUUUAUGUCGCAAUCAGAGAAGAAUUCGUACAUUUCUCUUCGAUGAACUGGUAGAUCUGGCGAUGAUUCACAAGAGUCGCCUUGUGUACCCGCCGAUUGAGAGCCUUGGUUCUUAUAAAGCUACUUUGAAACAGAGGUCUUGACUGGGAGAACUCUCACACAUGCUCUGUCAUCUCCCUCCUUCGACAUUCUACUGCAAAAGUUUGAGGAUCAAUGGCUCCCAGAAAGGAAAGUGAACCGAAUGUUUCUAAAAAGAAACAUUUCAAGUUUUUGGACAGAAGGGUUGAGAAAAAUGGGAUGAAAGAGCUGAAACACUUAGAGGCAGUGCUUAAAGCGCUUUUGAAACGCCAAGCAAAGCUUCAGGCAAAACUGGACCGUCCUGGAGAACGUAAACCAACAAUGGAACAACUCCAAAGAGUGAAUGAUCAGCUGGCAAGGUUCAAUGCUUGGACCCAACAAUACAUUGAAACUAAGCUAGCUGACUCUGCUUGGGAUGCAUCAAACAAAGGCGUUUGACAGCUUUUGUCAUCCUCUCUCUAGAAACAUCUCUGCCGAGAAGAAUACUCAAAUAAAAAACUAGCGAAGUUUGGUCCCAUUGGUGUGAAAUUGGUCUCUCUCUUCCUUUUGCUUUUCUAUAAUAGACAAUUACUUGCAAGUUGCAAUAUGUAAAGCACAAUACCACUGUGCUUGCUUGUCUGUUGUGCUUUUAGUUUGAUCGAACUUUUAAUCAUGGUGUAACUUAGAUUCUCUUACGCCUUGUUACAUUGCACGUUUAUAACUUGUUUUUUUUUUUUUUCACCUGGAUUAAAUAUCUAUUAUGACUUGGUUAAGUA
Theobroma cacao (cacao) is the source of this 1216-nucleotide non-coding RNA. The record is from RefSeq and is a predicted model, not a curated record. NCBI's taxonomy places the organism in Eukaryota, Viridiplantae, Streptophyta, Magnoliopsida, Malvales, Malvaceae.